GACGAACGCUGGCGGCGUGCUUAACACAUGCAAGUCGAACGGUAAGGCCCUUCGGGGUACACGAGUGGCGAACGGGUGAGUAACACGUGGGUGAUCUGCCCUGCACUUCGGGAUAAGCCUGGGAAACUGGGUCUAAUACCGGAUAGGACCCUGGGAUGCAUGUCCUGGGGUGGAAAGCUUUUGCGGUGUUGGAUGGGCCCGCGGCCCCUCAGCUUGUUGGUGGGGUGAUGGCCUACCAAGGCGACGACGGGUAGCCGGCCAGGGAGGGUGACCGCCCACACUGGGAUUGCGGUACUGCAUAGGAUACCACGGGACGCAGCAGAGGUGAAUAUUGCACACUGGGCGCAAGCAUGAUGCAGCGACGCCGCGUGAGGGAUGACGGCCUUCGGGUUGUAAACCUCUUGCGGCACCGACGAAGCGCAAGUGACGGUAGGUGCAGAAGAAGUACCGGCCAACUACGUGCCAGCCGCCGCUGUAA
RNAcentral lists this ribosomal RNA (478 nucleotides) under uncultured bacterium. RNAcentral's name for it is "partial 16S ribosomal RNA". It matches the Rfam family "Bacterial small subunit ribosomal RNA", at positions 28 to 523 of the family's 1533-position model. The record is from RNAcentral.